GAUGAACGCUGGCGGUGUGCCUAAUACAUGCAAGUCGAGCGAACAGACGAGGAGCUUGCUCCUCUGACGUUAGCGGCGGACGGGUGAGUAACACGUGGAUAACCUACCUAUAAGACUGGGAUAACUUCGGGAAACCGGAGCUAAUACCGGAUAAUAUAUUGAACCGCAUGGUUCAAUAGUGAAAGACGGUUUUGCUGUCACUUAUAGAUGGAUCCGCGCCGCAUUAGCUAGUUGGUAAGGUAACGGCUUACCAAGGCAACGAUGCGUAGCCGACCUGAGAGGGUGAUCGGCCACACUGGAACUGAGACACGGUCCAGACUCCUACGGGAGGCAGCAGUAGGGAAUCUUCCGCAAUGGGCGAAAGCCUGACGGAGCAACGCCGCGUGAGUGAUGAAGGUCUUCGGAUCGUAAAACUCUGUUAUUAGGGAAGAACAAAUGUGUAAGUAACUAUGCACGUCUUGACGGUACCUAAUCAGAAAGCCACGGCUAACUACGUG
RNAcentral lists this ribosomal RNA (497 nucleotides) under uncultured bacterium. RNAcentral's name for it is "partial 16S ribosomal RNA". It matches the Rfam family "Bacterial small subunit ribosomal RNA", at positions 28 to 507 of the family's 1533-position model. The record is from RNAcentral.